UGCAGCCCUCUUCACACUGAGGAGUGAACCGCGAAGUUCCAGCUCACAGGGGCGUCUUUCCCGGGUGUGUGCUUUUAGUCACAAAACUUUCGCCCUCUUAAAUUUGCCUUUGUGAGGGCUCGGUGAGUCUCUGCAGCUGUACUGCGGUAAUACAUGCAGCUUUUCACACGCCAUGAGUACGCACGUGUGGAUACAUGGGCUACAGGAAAAGUCCGGAAAGG
Molecule: long non-coding RNA, 221 nt
Filed under: Fukomys damarensis (Damara mole-rat)
Lineage: Eukaryota; Metazoa; Chordata; Mammalia; Rodentia; Bathyergidae
Description: lncRNA (ENSFDAG00000031034.1)
Source: RNAcentral